UGUGAAGGCCCAGAUCCAUCAGAGUAUCAAUGUUCUUCCUCUCUCUCCUCCCCUCUCACUGCAGACAUGAAACACUGGCUGAGAAACAUCCUGAUUCUGACUCUCUGGCUAGAGUGUAAAGGACAAGACAGCGUGACCCAGCCAACAGGAGAUGUCAUUGCUGCUGAAGGAGACACAGUUACACUUGCUUGUACAUUUGAGACCAGUAGAACAGGUUCUACUUUGUUCUGGUACAAACAAGAAGUAAAUGAUUCCCCAAAGUUUAUGCUGAGACGUUUAAUGUCUGGAACAGCAGCUAAUACUGCAGCUGAAGAUAGGAUUGAUGCUGAAAUCAACGGGACAUCAGUUCCUCUGAAGAUCCAGAAGCUGCAGCUGUCUGACUCUGCUGUGUACUACUGUGCUCUGCAGCCCACAGUGACAGGAAACACCAAA
Thunnus maccoyii (southern bluefin tuna) is the source of this 432-nucleotide non-coding RNA. NCBI's taxonomy places the organism in Eukaryota, Metazoa, Chordata, Actinopteri, Scombriformes, Scombridae. The record is from the annotation of a RefSeq genome assembly.